RNAcentral lists this long non-coding RNA (2076 nucleotides) under Homo sapiens (human). RNAcentral describes it as "PREDICTED lncRNA (TCONS_00155621)". The record is from RNAcentral. Lineage: Eukaryota; Metazoa; Chordata; Mammalia; Primates; Hominidae.
CUGAACCAACUGAUGAAUGUGGUGAAGUCUUCCCUUCGUCACCCCAGGUGCAGCCACAGCCUCUGCAGCCACCCUGGGGGAGAGACAGCUCCAGGACCUGCUAAGGUGAGGUGUUCUGGAAGGGUCUCUGCUCCUAGCAGUCACUGGCAGCUUGCCCAAAUUGGAGAAGUUUAACAUCUCUUUUCUCUGAGAAGUAAAAUGUGUUUCUUUGGUGGAUGUGAAACCAACAAACCACUGUGGUGCCUCUCUACAUCUGAAGGAUGAGCCAGCCAAGCCAGGGGAACUGACGACCCCACACACGUCUGCACUGCUGUGGCCGUGUUGAACACGGACUCCUUCUUCAGGGCAGCCUUGGGCCAUCGGAGGGCUGCUGUAUGCAGUGACGGCCACCAAGUGUCCUUGGCCAGGGGAGUGAUUUACAGGGACUGAGAUCCUGACUUGUGACCCAGACACGAAUGCAUCCUUGUUCCAUUUUGUUAUUGCUCAACCGUCAUCUGGCCAUCCCCAAAGCCCACCUCUGUGAGAAAGGCCAGUGCUUGUCCUCGUGACACCCCUGAGACCUCGAUGGAGCAAGUCCCAGGGCCCAUCAUACAUUUUUAAAGAAAAUCUUCUUUUGGUGAGAAGAUCAAAGGGCCAGGCAGAAAUGGAAAAGCACUUUCUGGCAUCAGACUUCCUCUGACUUCUCCGGUUGCCACACCACUGAAAGACUGCCCCACAGUGCGAGGGACGUCCACAUCUGCCUGGCUCUCCGAGGGAUGAACAGCCUUCAGUUCAGCUUCCUGUCACACCCCAAAAUCCACCAGGGCUCUGCAGUCAUAGAGCCCUGGAACCCAGAGGUGGAAACUUAAAGGAAUGAGUGCUCUCUCGCUCCAAAACCACAGAUAUCUGGUCCAUAGAGAACCCACCACACUUGUAUACAUUUUCAUACGUCUGCGCACAUACACAAAUGCACAAACACAUGUUCAGCUGUUGAUAAUCAUCUGAUCUUUUGCUCUUUCGAUGUAAAUAUGGCCAGAUAUCUCUGGCUUUAAUUCUCAUUAAAAUUUUGAAAGUUAUACUUUCUAUACAAUAUACAUCAUGGAUGUCCAAUCUUUUGGCUUCCCUGUGCCAGAUUGAAAGAAGAAGAAUUGUCUUGGGGCCUGGCGUGAUGGCUCAUGCCUAUUAAUUCCAACACUUUGGGAGGCGGAGGUGGGAGGAUCACCUGAGAUCAGGAGUUCACGACUAGCCUGGCCAACAUGGUGAAACCCCCCCAUCUCUACUAAAAAUAUAAAAAUUAGCGAAGCAUGGUGGCACAUGCCUGUAAUCCCAGCUAUGCAGGAGGCUGAGGCAGGGGAAUCACUUGAUCCCAGGAAGCAGAGGUUGCAGUGAGCCAAGAUUGCACCAUUGCAUUCCAGCCUGGGCAACAGAGUGAGACCCAGUCUCAAGAAAAAAAAAAAAGAAUUAUCUUGGGCCACACAUACACACAUAAAAUACACUAACACUAAUGAUAGCUAAUGAGCUAAAAAAAAUUUCAAGAAUAUCAUAAUGUUUUAAGAGUUUAUGAAUUUGUGUUGGGCCACAUUCAAAGUCAUUGUGGGCUGCAUGUGGCCCGAGGGCCGCAGGUUGGACAAGCUUGAUAUACAUAUUAUGUAUAUUAUAUAUUUCUGUGAAAACAGAAUAAAUCCAAGACUGAGGAUCUAAUUCCAAAAUUCAUUUUUGUAGGCAUUCUGAGACUUAACUAUUUUUCUAGUCACAUAAUAAGGAAAGGAUCCUUACAGAAAUACUGAAAGCUCUUGGUUCUGCCUUUGCUGAUGUUUUCUCUUUUCUCUAUUCCCUCUCCCUUCACACUCGUCCUCAUUCUACAGCCUCAAGCUUGUGUCAUUGUUCACAUCUGCUUCCCCAUCUCUGGAGUCUCUGUCAAGGCUCACCCUGGAUUUGAGGUAGGUUAAGUAGCCAAUGAGCCCAGCUGGUCCACAGACACCAAAAUUGUGUGUCCUGGAUGAAGUCAGCAUCUUUCCCUCGCCCUGUGCCUUUCUUGUCUGUUGGUUCCUAUUUCUGUUCCUACUCACAAUCUACCUCUGGGGAUAUCACCUGUCU